Molecule: ribosomal RNA, 530 nt
Filed under: uncultured bacterium
Lineage: Bacteria
Description: bacterial SSU rRNA
Rfam family: Bacterial small subunit ribosomal RNA
Source: RNAcentral
ACCGAAUAGAUACCCGGGUAGUCCACGCCGUAAACUAUGAACGCUAGCCCGUUGGCGAGCUUGCUCGUCAGUGGCGCAGCUAACGCAUUAAGCGUUCCGCCUGGGGAGUACGGCCGCAAGGUUGAAACUCAAAGAAAUUGACGGGGGCCCGCACAAGCGGUGGAGCAUGUGGUUUAAUUCGACGCAACGCGCAGAACCUUACCAGGGUUUGACGUCCCGAGACCGCUGCUGAAAGGCAGUUUCCCGCAAGGGCUCGGAGACAGGUGCUGCAUGGCUGUCGUCAGCUCGUGUCGUGAGAUGUUGGGUUAAGUCCCGCAACGAGCGCAACCCUCGCCUUUAGUUGCCAUCAUUAAGUUGGGCACUCUAGAGGGACCGCCGGCGACAAGCCGGAGGAAGGUGGGGAUGACGUCAAGUCCUCAUGGCCCUUACACCCUGGGCUACACACGUGCUACAAUGGCGGUGACAGUGAGCAGCUAACUCGCGAGAGUGUGCUAAUCUCCAAAAACCGGUCCCAGUUCAGAUUGCACUCU